Molecule: ribosomal RNA, 1336 nt
Filed under: uncultured marine archaeon
Lineage: Archaea
Description: bacterial SSU rRNA
Rfam family: Archaeal small subunit ribosomal RNA
Source: RNAcentral
UGAUCCUGCCAGAGGCGACCGCUAUUGGAGUUCGAUUAAGCCAUGCGAGUAGAAAGAAAUUAGAUUCUUUGCAUACUGCUCAGUAACACGUGGAUAACCUGCCCUACACUGGGGGAUAAUCUCGGGAAACUGAGCAUAAUACCCCAUAGACCACUACGCCUGGAACGGUGAGUGGUUGAAAGCUUCGGCGGUGUAGGAUGGGUCUGCGGCGUAUCAGGUUGUAGGGGGUGUAAUGGACCUCCUAGCCAUCGACGCGUACGGGUUGUGGGAGCAAUAGCCCGGAGACGGAUUCUGAGACACGAAUCCGGACCCUACGGGGUGCAGCAGGCGCGAAAACUUCACACUGCAGGAAACUGUGAUGAGGGAACUCCAAGUGACUGCACAAUGUGUAGCCUUUUCUUGAAUUUUAAUAGUUCUUGGAAUAAGGGCUGGGAAAGACCGGUGCCAGCCGCCGCGGUAAUACCGGCAGCUCGAGUGGUCGUCGCUUUUAUUGGGCCUAAAACGUCCGUAGCCGGUCUGAUACAUUCGUGGGUAAAUCAACCAGCUUAACUGGUUGAAUUCUGCGAGGACGGUCAGACUUGGGACCGGGAGAGGUGUGGGGUACGCUCAGGGUAGGGGUAGAAUCCUGUCAUCCUGAGCGGACCACCUGUUGCGAAGGCGCCACACUAGAACGGAUCCGACGGUCAGGGACGAAGCCUAGGGGCACGAACCGGAUUAGAUACCCGGGUAGUCCUAGGUGUAAACGCUGUGGACUUGAUGUUGGGGGUGCUCCGAGCACUCUCAGUGUCGAAGCGAAGGUGAUAAGUCCACUGCCUGGGAAGUACGGUCGCAAGGCUGAAACUUAAAGGAAUUGGCGGGGGAGCACCGCAACCUGAGGAUUGUGCGGUUUAAUUGGAUUCAACGCCGGAAAACUCACCAUAGCCGACGGACAAAUGAAGGUCAGUGUAAUGAACUUACCGGAUUGUUCGAGAGGUAGUGCAUGGCCGCCGUCAGUUCGUACCGCAAGGCGUUCUGUUAAGUCAGAUAACGAACGAGACCCUCAUCUCUAUUUGCUAACUGGAUCUCCGGAUUCAGUGCACUAUAGGGAGACCGCUGGCGCUAAGUCAGAGGAAGGGGAGGGCAACGGUAGGUCAGUAUGCUCCGAAUGCUAUGGGCUACACGCGCAAUACAAAGGACAGGACAAUGGGCUGCUGCUCCGAAAGGAAUGAUAGCUAUCCCGAAACCUGUUCGUAGUUCGGAUUGAGGGCUGUAACUCGCCCUCAUGAAGCUGGAUUAGGUAGUAAUCGCGUCUCAAAAAGGCGCGGUGAAUAUGCCCCUGCUCCUUGCACUCACCGCC